This 567-nucleotide long non-coding RNA is filed under the name Fukomys damarensis (Damara mole-rat). RNAcentral's name for it is "lncRNA (ENSFDAG00000025761.1)". The record is from RNAcentral. Lineage: Eukaryota; Metazoa; Chordata; Mammalia; Rodentia; Bathyergidae.
AGCAAAUGUGCAGGCUAUGGAUAAUAAAAGAUAAAUAGGACACGAUGGCUGCCUUGAAAGGAGCCUGGUUCUAAGGAGUGUGACUUGGAGAAAGGUUGCCGAAGACCUAAAGCAUGGUAAUCAAAGGGCUGUCCUCUGUGUCUGACCACCAACUUCAUGCCCACUUCCUCUCUCCCUGGCUCCACUACCCAGCCUGGAAACCUCGGCUUCUCAGUCCCACGUUUCAAAGCUUGAAACAGCUCCUGAAGAAGAGACCUUCAUCCAACAACAAUAAAACAAAAGCCUAGAAUGUUAGCUUUCCUUUGCCUUAAAAUGGCUGCUACUUUUAGCAGCCUCCUCUUUCCCAUAAUGCUCUGUGAUUUAAGAAGACUGCCACAUGGAAUAGCAGCCUCCUUCUCAUAACACCAUGUUCGAAUAUGGCUUCUCCCACCAAAGGACAGUCUUCUUCCCAACAUGCCCCUCUUCCUGCCAAGAAAGGUAAUCUGAUACUUGCUACCUCCUAGCAACUAUUGAUGUCACAAGCUCCUCCUAGCGAUGUCACAGGCUCCUCUAAUCCCUUAAUACUAC